RNAcentral lists this ribosomal RNA (440 nucleotides) under uncultured bacterium. Its description in RNAcentral is "partial 16S ribosomal RNA". It matches the Rfam family "Bacterial small subunit ribosomal RNA", at positions 338 to 795 of the family's 1533-position model. The record is from RNAcentral.
CCUACGGGUGGCAGCAGUGGGGGAUAUUGCACAAUGGGGGGAACCCUGAUGCAGCGACGCCGCGUGGGUGAAGAAGCGCCUCGGCGCGUAAAGCCCUGUCAGCAGGGAAGAAAAUGACGGUACCUGAAGAAGAAGCCCCGGCUAACUACGGGCCAGCAGCCGCGGUAAUACGUAGGGGGCAAGCGUUAUCCGGAUUUACUGGGUGUAAAGGGGGCGCAGACGGCGAUGCAAGCCAGGAGUGAAAGCCCGGGGCCCAACCCCGGGACUGCUCUUGGAACUGGGUGGCUGGAGUGCAGGAGGGGCAGGCGGAAUUCCUGGUGUAGCGGUGAAAUGCGUAGAUAUCACGAAGAACACCGAUUGCGAAGGCAGCCUGCUGGAGCGUAACUGACGCUGAGGCUCGAAAGCGCGGGUAGCAAACAGGAUUAGAUACCCGGGUAGUC